RNAcentral lists this ribosomal RNA (253 nucleotides) under uncultured bacterium. RNAcentral's name for it is "partial 16S ribosomal RNA". It matches the Rfam family "Bacterial small subunit ribosomal RNA", at positions 524 to 776 of the family's 1533-position model. The record is from RNAcentral.
UACGUAGGGUGCGAGCGUUGUCCGGAAUUAUUGGGCGUAAAGGGCUCGUAGGCGGUUUGUCGCGUCGGGAGUGAAAACACUGGGCUUAACUCAGUGCUUGCUUCCGAUACGGGCAGACUAGAGGUAUUCAGGGGAGAACGGAAUUCCUGGUGUAGCGGUGAAAUGCGCAGAUAUCAGGAGGAACACCGGUGGCGAAGGCGGUUCUCUGGGACGGUACUGACGCUGAGGCGCGAAAGCUAGGGGAGCGAACAGG